GGGGAUAUAGCUCAGUUGGCUAGAGCGCCUGCUUUGCAAGCAGGAGGUCCGGGGUUCGAGUCCCCGUAUCUCCACCA
Molecule: transfer RNA, 77 nt
Filed under: Candidatus Saccharimonadota bacterium
Lineage: Bacteria; Candidatus Saccharimonadota
Description: tRNA-Ala
Rfam family: tRNA
About the family: Transfer RNA (tRNA) molecules are approximately 80 nucleotides in length. Their secondary structure includes four short double-helical elements and three loops (D, anti-codon, and T loops).
Source: RNAcentral